CCCUUAGAUGUUCUGGGCCGCACGCGCGCUACACUGAUGCAUUCAACGAGUCUAAAACCUGCUCUGAUAGGGGUGGGUAAUCUUUUGAAUGUGCAUCGUGAUUGGGAUAGAUGAUUGCAAUUUUUCAUCUUCAACGAGGAAUGCCUAGUAAAUGCAAGUCAUCAGCUUGCAUUGAUUACGUCCCUGCCCUUUGUACACACCGCCCGUCGCUCCUACCGAUUGAAUGAUCCGAUGAAUAUCAUGGAUUGAGGAUGCAAGCAGGUUCGCCUGUCUUCAUCUUCGAGAAGUGAAGUAAAUCUUAUCAUUUAGAGGAAGGAGAAGUCGUAACA
This 329-nucleotide ribosomal RNA is filed under the name uncultured eukaryote. Its description in RNAcentral is "partial 18S ribosomal RNA". It matches the Rfam family "Eukaryotic small subunit ribosomal RNA", at positions 1470 to 1796 of the family's 1831-position model. The record is from RNAcentral.